RNAcentral lists this ribosomal RNA (339 nucleotides) under Triticum aestivum (bread wheat). RNAcentral describes it as "partial small subunit ribosomal RNA". The record is from RNAcentral. Lineage: Eukaryota; Viridiplantae; Streptophyta; Magnoliopsida; Poales; Poaceae.
AAAAGUGCAUGCUUAUUUGCCACAAAAUCUGAUAUUGAUGAGCUAGAUUUCAGCAAAUUUGUUUGCUAUGCUUUUGUGUGCAGAGAGGUAUUAUUUUCAUUCGAGGACGUGCCUUCCUCUUUGCCUCCUGCUAUCACUAACAUUUUGCAGCAGUUCGCUGACGUCUUUCCACAAAACGUGCCACCGGGAUUACCGCGUAUUCGAGGCAUUGAGCAUCAGAUUGACUUAAUUCCUGGUGCUUCACUGCCAAACCGUGCGCCAUACCGUACCAAUCCAGAGGAGACGAAUGAGAUUAUGCGUCAAGUACAAGAGCUUCUCGACAAAGGUUAUAUACGCGAA